This 68-nucleotide transfer RNA is filed under the name Sphaerodactylus townsendi. RNAcentral's name for it is "tRNA-Gln". It matches the Rfam family "tRNA". From Rfam's summary of the family: Transfer RNA (tRNA) molecules are approximately 80 nucleotides in length. Their secondary structure includes four short double-helical elements and three loops (D, anti-codon, and T loops). Further hydrogen bonds mediate the characteristic L-shaped molecular structure. tRNAs have two regions of fundamental functional importance: the anti-codon, which is responsible for specific mRNA codon recognition, and the 3' end, to which the tRNAs corresponding amino acid is attached (by aminoacyl-tRNA synthetases). tRNAs cope with the degeneracy of the genetic code in two manners: having more than one tRNA (with a specific anti-codon) for a particular amino acid; and 'wobble' base-pairing, i.e. permitting non-standard base-pairing at the 3rd anti-codon position. The record is from RNAcentral. Lineage: Eukaryota; Metazoa; Chordata; Lepidosauria; Squamata; Sphaerodactylidae.
GUGGCUCAGUGGUAGAGCAUCUACCAUUGGCAUGUAGAAGGUCCCAGGUUCAAUUCUUGGCAUCUCCA